Molecule: ribosomal RNA, 279 nt
Filed under: uncultured bacterium
Lineage: Bacteria
Description: partial 16S ribosomal RNA
Rfam family: Bacterial small subunit ribosomal RNA
Source: RNAcentral
UGCCAGCCGCCGCGGUAAGACGGAGGGUGCAAACGUUGUUCGGAAUCACUGGGCAUAAAGAGCACGUAGGCGGCUAAGUCAGUCUGGUGUGAAAGCCCCCGGCUCAACCGGGGAAUUGCAUCGGAUACUGCUUGGCUUGAGGACGGUUGGGGUGAGUGGAACUCCUGGUGGAGCGGUGAAAUGCGUAGAUAUCAGGAGGAACACCAGUGGCGAAAGCGACUCACUGGGCCGUCUCUGACGCUGAGGUGCGAAAGCUAGGGUAGCGAACGGGAUUAGAUA